RNAcentral lists this ribosomal RNA (253 nucleotides) under uncultured bacterium. Its description in RNAcentral is "partial 16S ribosomal RNA". It matches the Rfam family "Bacterial small subunit ribosomal RNA", at positions 524 to 776 of the family's 1533-position model. The record is from RNAcentral.
UACGUAGGGGGCAAGCGUUGUCCGGAUUUAUUGGGCGUAAAGAGCGUGUAGGCGGUUUGGUAGGUCCGCUGUGAAAACUCGAGGCUCAACCUCGAGACGCCGGUGGAAACCAUCAGACUAGAGUCCGGAAGAGGAGAGUGGAAUUCCUGGUGUAGCGGUGAAAUGCGCAGAUAUCAGGAAGAACACCAAUGGCGAAAGCAGCUUUCUGGGACGGUACUGACGCUGAGACGCGAAAGCGUGGGGAGCGAACAGU